CACUUGGCAGAUUUUGUUUCCUCCCUUGAAAUCCCACUGGACGUGGAGCAGAGCAUUCACUUGAAGACGUCGGAGGACGGUCUGCAGAAGAAUUAAAACUUUACAACGUAACGUGAAGCUACAGAAGAAGAGGCAGAGUUACUACUCUGAUAAUCUUGCCAGCUCCUCCAGAGCUAUAAAGGACUGAAGUAACUAAAGUGUUCACCAGCAUUUUAUUAAAGCAGACAAUAUAUGUAAUUGCAACAUUUCAAGUGGCUCAAUAAAGAUACAAAGAAAACC
This 279-nucleotide long non-coding RNA is filed under the name Dromaius novaehollandiae (emu). RNAcentral's name for it is "lncRNA (ENSDNVG00000014376.1)". The record is from RNAcentral. Lineage: Eukaryota; Metazoa; Chordata; Aves; Casuariiformes; Dromaiidae.